CCUACGGGUGACAUCAGUAGGGAAUAUUGCUCAAUGGGGGAAACCCUGAAGCAGCAACGCCGCGUGGAGGAUGAAGGUUUUCGGAUUGUAAACUCCUUUUGUGAGAGAAGAUAAUGACGGUAUCUAACGAAUAAGCACCGUCUAACUCCGUGCCAGCAGCCGCGGUAAUACGGAGGGUGCAAGCGUUACUCGGAAUCACUGGGCGUAAAGGGCGCGUAGGCGGGAUAGCAAGUCAGAUGUGAAAGCCUAUGGCUUAACCAUAGAACUGCAGUUGAAACUGUUAUUCUAGAGUAUGGUAAGGGUAGGUGGAAUUCUUGGUGUAGGGGUGAAAUCCUGAGAGAUCAAGAGGAA
RNAcentral lists this ribosomal RNA (351 nucleotides) under uncultured bacterium. RNAcentral's name for it is "partial 16S ribosomal RNA". It matches the Rfam family "Bacterial small subunit ribosomal RNA", at positions 338 to 706 of the family's 1533-position model. The record is from RNAcentral.